RNAcentral lists this long non-coding RNA (6101 nucleotides) under Carica papaya (papaya). RNAcentral's name for it is "long non-coding RNA (CPAP_LNC011764)". The record is from RNAcentral. Lineage: Eukaryota; Viridiplantae; Streptophyta; Magnoliopsida; Brassicales; Caricaceae.
GAUUAAUAUCUCUUACACAAUAACUUAAACAUAGUAACAAUAUCAAAGAAUAAGUUAACUAAAUGAAAUACUAUAAGGAAAAUUAUAAAAUAUUUAGGCAUCUACUCGCCAUCUUCCUGCGGAAUAAGCUCUAAAAUCAAGUCAUCCUGAUCUGAAAUUGUUAAGUAAGGAAUGAGCUACACUAACCCAGUAAGGAUGUCAUACUAUAUCACUGUCACAGAAAUAAAGGUUGGUAGAAAAACAAAAAUAACCAAUGGAGCAAAAAUUUUUUUAAACAAUUUUAUUUAUCAAUAAUCAAACCAUUUACCAUCCACUUAUUUCGGUGGAAUUUAUAAAACGACCGACAAAAAUAAUAACUUCAUAGAUAUCAUGAAUUUAUACAUACUCGGUAACAUAAUAUUUGUCAUACUUUAUAUAUCAAUCAUCAAAUAACAAUUGCCAUCUUUUAUCAGCCUACUAGUAUCCAUGGAGAUCCAUAGGGGUCCCCGCUACACGUGAACCAUUCACUUUAACAAACUUAGUUCCAGGACCGUUCCCUUACCCCGUCCGGUAUGAGGUGAAGCGGGUCGUCCCCAUACCCCNNNNNNNNNNNNNNNNNNNNNNNNNNNNNNNNNNNNNNNNNNNNNNNNNNNACCGUGCUCCGGCGACCUUUACAAAAUAAUAAUAAUAAUAAUAAUAAUAAUAAUAAUAAUAAAUAUUUUUGGGUGUUACAACUCUCCUCCCCUUAAAGAAAUUUGGUCCCUCAAAUUUGCCCCUUAUUCUUGAUCGAACAACUGGGGGUAUGGGGCUCUAAGGUCUGAUUCUAGCUCCCAUGUAGCCUCCCUCGGCAUGUGGUUCUGUCAUACGACCUUUACAAAGGAUAUUUUUCGGUUGCGGAGUAAUCUACUCUUUCGGUCCGUAAUACCAAUUGGUACUUCCUCAUAAGAUAAGUUCUCCUAAAGUGGAAGCGGUUCAUGAGCCAAGACAUGAGAGGGGUCCGGGUUGUACUUGCGUAGCAUGGAUACAUGGAACACAUUAUAUACCUUGGAGAGUUUUGGAGGCAGUGCUAGUCUGUAGGCGGCAAUACCGAUCCUGUCUAAGACUUCAAAUGGUCUAAUAAAUUGAGAGUUCAGUUUUUCCCUCAUGCAGAACCUAUUAAUUCCCUUGAAAGGAGUGACCUUAAGGAACACUCGGUCAUCUUUUUCAAACGCUAAAUCUCUCCUCCGGGUGUCCGCAUAACUCUUCUGCCUGCUCUGAGCCGUCUGAAUGUUCUUUUUGAUUUUAACUAUCUUAAAUGUGGUCUUCUCUACCAGCUCUAGGCUGAAUAAUUUUCUAUCGCCCACUUCUUCUCAACAAAUCGGCGAUCUGCAUGGGCGUCCAUAUAACGCCUCAUACGGAGCCAUGCCAAUGCUCGCUUAGUAGCUGUUGUUGUAGGCAAAUUCUAUCAGGGGCAGAUGGUCGUCCCAAUGGCCCCCAGAGUCAAGGACACAAGCUUGGAGCAUAUCUUCAAGUGUACGGAUUGUUCUUUCUGAUUGUCCAUCAGUCUGAGGAUGGAAAGCAGUACUGAGGGACAGCUUUGUUCCCAUGGCUUGCUGAAAGCUACUCCAAAACUGAGAGGUGAACUUGGGGUCCCUGUCGGAUACCACUGUCACUGGAAUUCCAUGCAAUCUAACUAUUUUCUGGAUAUACAUUCUUACUAACUUGUCUAAGGGAUCGGUCAUCCUAAUGGCUAAGAAGUGGGAAGACUUGGUAAGCCGGUCAAUAAUUACCUCGAUGACAUCAUGUCCUGAGCGUGCAUUGGGUAAUCCUGUUACGAAGUCCAUGGUGAUAUAUUCCCACUUCCACUCCGGAAUAGGUAAAUGCUGAAAUAACCCACAUGGGCGCUGAGGCUCUGCCUUGACCUGCAGACAUACCAAGUAUUUAGACACAAAGUCAGCUAUAUCCCUCUUCAUCUUAUUCCACCAAAAUCGAGGUCGCAUGCUUUGGUAUAUUUUGGUGCUUCCGGGGUACAUGGCAAACUUCAAGCUAUGGGCCUCUGUCAUAAUGUCUCUUUUCAACUCGCUGUUGCUUGGGACACAUACUCUGUCUUGGAAUCGGAGUAACCCAUCGGCAGAGACUCGAAAUUCUGAGCUAAUUCCCUGUUCUGCAUCACUCUUGCGGGCUACUAGGGCGGGGUUGACUGACUGGGCUUCCCUGAUUCUCUGGAUUAACUCGGGCUGGACGGUCAGAUAACAUGUGACUCUCUUCAAGUCCUGAAGUCAAACAUGUUGUGUGGCCCAAAUUUGCCUGCAUUAUGAAACCAUCAAAUGGGCUAAGAUACCUGUAUUUUUCCUGCUGAGAGCAUCUGCCACCACGUUGCCCUUACCCGGAUGGUACAAGAUAUCACAAUCAUAGUCUUUAAGGAGUUCCAUCCACAUUCUCUGACGCAUGUUGAGAUCCUUUUGAGUGAAUAUGUUUUUCAAACUCUUAUGAUCGGUAUAGAUCUGAAAGGUCUCUCCGUAUAAAUAAUGGCACCAGAUUUUCAGGGCGUGUAUGAUUGCGGUAAGCUCUAAGUCAUGGGUGAGAUAAUUUUUCUCAUGAUUCUUUAACUGUCUGGACCCAUAGGCUAUGAUCUUCCCAUGCUGCAUUAAAACACAACCUAUGCCUAGAUAAGAGGCAUCAUUGUAAAUUGUAUAUCCCCUUGAUCCACUCGGUAAGGCCAGCAUGGGUGCAAUGGUCAGUCGCUUCUUUAAUUCUGAAAAACUUCUUUCACAGUCCUCAUUCCACUCAAACUUAGCAUUCUUUUUUGUGAGUCGGGUUAGGGGAGCCGCUAGACUAGAAAAUCCUUCGACGAAUCUGCAGUAAUAACCUGUCAUUCCCAGGAAGCUACAGAUUUCUUUAACUGAUGUCAAUUUCUCCCAGCCUAGUACCGCUUCAACCUUUUUAGGAUUCACUGAUACUCCCUCCUUUGAUAUAAUGUGUCUUAGGAAGCGGUCUGCUCUAGCCAGAAUUCACACUUACUCAACUUGGCAUACAACUUCUUUCUUAUGAGAACCUACAAAACCUGGGUUAGAUGAUGAGCAUGUUCUUCUCUGCUUUUUGAGUAGACCAGGAUGUUAUCGAUGAAUAUGAUAACAAAUUGAUCCAAGAAUUCUCUGAAGACCCUGUUCAUAAGAUCCAUGAAAAUGGUUGGGGCGUUGGUUAGCCCAAAUGGCAUGACCAGGAACUUAUAGUGUCCGUACCUAGUUUGAAAAGCCGUUUUGGAGAUGUCUUCUGCCCUUAUUUUCACCUGAUAGUAAUCUGAUCGCAGGUCUAUUUUGGAGAAGACCUGCGCACCCUGCAACUGAUCGAAGAGCUCAUCAAUUCUGGGAAGGGGAUAUUUGUUCUUGAUUGUGACAUUGUUCAAUCCUCUGUAAUUAAUACAUAGUCUUAGUGUUUCAUCUCCCUUCCUGGCAAAAGUGACUCCAGCACCCCAAUGGGACACACUGUGUCUAAUAAAACUACUGUCUUGUAAUUCAGUGACCUGUUUCUUCAGCUCAUCCAUCUCAACGCGGCUCAUGCGGUAAGGAGCAAUCGAAAUGGGCUGGGUGCCUGGUUGUAGGUCUAUGGUGAACUCGACUUUCCUGUCCACUGGCAAUCCGGGUAGUUCGUCCGAAAACACAUAUGAAAAGUUUCGGACUACUGGAAUCUCUUGAAUAUAAUUCUCUUUCUUGAGUUUGCCUAGUUAGAGAAAAUAGCAAGGUUAAGGUACUUGACAAUUAAGAAAACUUGCCAUCAAGGAAUAAGUACUAAAUGAUUUUAUUAAUUUGUAAAUGGCUCCUCAUUAGGAGGAUUAAAUACAACCUUCUUGCUAAAGCAAUCUAUGGUGGCAUGAUACACCGCUAACCAAUCCAUCCCUAAUAUUACAUAAAAUCCCCUGUGUCUAAUUCUAUUAGGUCUACACUCAGUUUUCUAUUAGCUAUCUCUACGGCACAAGCCCUGUAGACAACUUCUCCCAAUAGUGUUUCCCUCCCCCAGCAGUAAAUACAAAUAACAUUGAAUCAAGUUUAUCAGGUAAUACAUUAAAUUUGGAUGCAAAAACAGGUUAAACAAAUGAAUGCGAUGCAUCAGUGUCAAACAAAACAUGAGCAAUAUGAUUACAGAUAGUGUACAUACCCUGUACCACGUUCGAGUUGGCAUCAGCAUCCUGCUGGAUGAGGUUGUAAACCCUGCCCUAGAUAGGAGGUCUUCCCUGAUUCUGGUUCCUCGGGCACUCUCUCGCAUAGUGCUAGACACUUCCACAUAUGCAACAGGUGUUGUUGAAGCGGUAGCAUGGUCGGUCCCCGUGAUCCCUGCCGCAGUGCUGACAGAUCUUACCACGUACUGCCACUGGAGCCUAAGGGGGAGCCUGGAUCAUCGGCCUGGGCCUCUUAUUUUGUUGGACAAGCGCAGUAGGUGCUGGUCUGCGGGGUGGAGCUGAGGGUCUGUGGUUCCCUGCUGACUGAGGAAGGGUGUGGAGGCUCCUCUCCACUAAUUGUGCCUUUGCCAGAAUGGCUGAGUAUGUCUUGAGCUCCAGUACAAAUAAAUGUUGAUUGAUCUCUGGGCGGAGGCCCCACUGGAACCUCCUAGCCUUCUUGCCCUCAUCCAUCAACGUCUCAGGGGAGUAUCGGCCCAACUCCAGGAACUUACGAGCAUAUUCUGACACCGUCAUGCUUCCCUGGACUAACUGGACAAACUCCAUCUCCUUUAGAUAUCGGAUGUGCUCUGGGAGGUACUCCGCAUGAAAGGCUGCUAAGAACUGUUCCCAAGUGACUGGAACAGGCAGGGUGGUCUGCUUGAGUUCCCACCAACGAUCUGCUUCUCCCACUAGAAUGUAGGUAGCAAGGGUGACAUUCUGCUCAGGAACCACUCCUAAGGUCUUGAAAGCCUUCUCCAUCUUUGCCAACCAGUACUGGGCAUCUUCAAAAGAGGAUUCCCCUACAAAAGUGGAAGGGUUCAGUCUCCUGUACCUCUCUACGUAGCUCGGGUCAAUCAAAGAUGGAGCUGGGUCCCGCGGAAGAGAGACUAGGCCAAACUGAGGAUAGAUUGGGGGGCCCUGUGGUGGUACUUGCUGAUAUAGUGGGGGCACUGGAUUAUACUGUGGCGGUGUCAGGCAGUACUGUGGCUGGGGCACCGAAUUAUACUGCGGCGGUGGUACCGGGUGGUACUGUGGAGGAGUAGGCUCGUACCGGGGUGGCUCGAGAUCUUCUCACUGCAGCGGUGGCUCAACUUGUGAUAGUGGGGGAGGGUAGCUCCCUUCUCUCCUUUCGGCCUUACUGGGCAGCAAUGAGUCUUUCCAGCAUCUCAAAUAUUAUGUCAACAUCUUUCCGAAGCAAACCAUCCCAGGCUGCUCGGUUUAGUGGGGGUCUUCCUCUCCUCAUCCCUCUGCACCUGCAUUUCACAAGGAAGGGUUGAGUAACGAUUCUUUGGUUUGAUACCAACUGUAACGGCCCCGAAAAUUUAAAAGGAAAUGUAUAUAAAAAAUCUGAAUGCGGAAGCGAAAUAAAAAGUUCUGAUUAAUAUCCCUUAUAAAAUAACUUAAAUGUACUAACAAUAUCAAAGAAUAAGUUAACUAAAUGAAAUACUAUAAGGAAAACUAUAAAAUAUUUAGGUAUCUACUCGCCGUCUUCCUGCGGAAUGGGCUCGGGAACCAAGUCCUCCUGAUCUGAAAUCGUUAAGUAAGGAAUGAGGUACACUAGUCCAGUAAAGAUGUCAAAGUAUAUCACUGUCACAGAAAUAAAUGUUGGUAGAAAAACAAAAACAACCAAUGGAGCAAAAAGUUUUUAAACAAUUUCAUUUAUCAAUAAUCAAACCAUUUACCGUCCACUUACCUCGAUGAGAUUUAUAAAACGACCUAUAGAAACAAUAACAUCAUAGAUAUCAUGAAUUCAUACAUACUCGGUAACAUAGCACAUGUCAUACUUUAUAUAUCAAUCAUCAAACAACAAUUGCCCUAUUUUAUCAGCCUACUAGUAUCCAUGGGGAUCCAUAGGGGUCCCCGCUAUACGUGAACCAUUCACUUUAACAAACUUAGUUCCAGGGCCGUCCCCACACCUCGUCCGAUACAUGCGCCAAAACAAUGAACCUCAAUACCCCGUCCGGUAUAAGGGUGAAGUGGGUCGUCC